This 1003-nucleotide long non-coding RNA is filed under the name Elaeis guineensis (African oil palm). RNAcentral's name for it is "long non-coding RNA (EGUI_LNC017599)". Lineage: Eukaryota; Viridiplantae; Streptophyta; Magnoliopsida; Arecales; Arecaceae. The record is from RNAcentral.
UCCAUUCCAAGAGAUUUUAGAUUAUCAUGUUAUCAUCUGAACUUAGAAAUUAAACCAUAAAUUAUAUGAGAACUUUUAUUGCAUCAUGCCAGUUAACAUGCUUUGGUGAUUAUGCACCAAAGCCCUCAACUAUGACUCUUUCUUAAAAGAGAAGUGACGUAGAUAUGGGUCAAGAGCUUUCGGAUCCGGCUUCGAUCUCUGGCACGAAGUAUUAUCCGUUCUGACUAGGUUCGGAUCGGAAGCAUGUCUGAUGGUCUCCACUGGGGUGGUCUCCGGCGCCACACGUGGCGGCCUCAUAGUUUUGUCCUUCUUUCGUGGGAAAAGGCAUCUCGUGAGGGAAGAGGGUCCUCUGGGCUACUUAAGGUCAUAGACACUUUUGACUUAUCCGAUGUGGAACUUUCGAGGUUCGACCUACUCUUGACUUAUCCGAUGUGGGACUUUCGAGGUUCGACCUCCCGAGGUCUACCCACAACACAGCCCCCAGUCAAGAGGAUACUGUGACAGGUAGGGGCUGGAUUCCCACAGACGGCCCCAAUGAUGUGGAUAUAGAUCAAGAGCUUUCGAGUCUGGCUCCGAUCUCUGGCACGAAGUAUUGUCCGCUCUGGUUAGAUCCGGGCCGAAAGCGUGCCCGAUGAUCUCCAUUGGGGUGGUCUCCGACACCACAUGUAGCGGCCUCACGGUUUUGUCCUUCUUCCGUGGAAAAAGGUGCCUUGUGAGGGAAGAGGGUCCCCUGAGCUACUUAAGGCCAUAGAUAUUCUUGAUUUAUCCGAUGUGGGAUUUUCGAAGUUCGAUCUCCCGAGGCCUACCCACAAUAAGAAGAAAAAUAUCAAAUAUAUCUAGGCUUUCUAAAAUGUUGUAAGCAUUCAUGGAAAUGACAUGAGAUUCUAGAGAAAUUCAUAUUUUCUAUUAUUUCAAGAGAUAAGUACAAUAAUUUUUGUUGGAUUUAGAUAAAUAGAAUGACUUAAAUUUAGCAUGGUGAGUUGUUUAUCAGGUCUUCCUUAUA